Molecule: long non-coding RNA, 888 nt
Filed under: Pan troglodytes (chimpanzee)
Lineage: Eukaryota; Metazoa; Chordata; Mammalia; Primates; Hominidae
Description: long non-coding RNA NONPTRT000792
Source: RNAcentral
CUGCCCCGUGCCUGUGCACACACACACGUGCCACCGGGGAUGGCCCCUGCCCCACGCCUGUGCACACACACAUGUGCCACCGGGGAUGGCCCCUGCCCCGUGCCGGUGCACACACCUACGUGCCACUGGGGAUGGCCCCUGCCCCACACACGUGCACAUGCCUGUGUGUGGCUCCUGCAAGCUGGGUGUGUGCUGGUGUGCACUGGCAUGCUGGCUUGUGCAGUGUGGAUGUGCAUGUGUGUGCAGGUACCAUCUGCCCAUGUGAGGGUGUGCACGUAUACAUGCGCGUGUGGGCGUGUGCUCGGCACCAUCUGCCCACGUGAGGGUGUGCACGUGUACGUGCGUGUGCGGGCGUGUGCUCAGCGCCAUCUGCCCACGUGAGGGUGUGCACGUGUACGUGCAUGUGCGGGCGUGUGCUCAGUGCCAUCUGCCCACGUGAGGGUGUGCACGCGUACGUGCGUGUGCGGGCGUGUGCUUGGGGGCCAUCUACCCACGUGAGGGUGUGCACGCAUACGUGCGUGUGCGGGCGUGUGCUCGGCACCACCUGCCCACGUGAGGGUGUGCGCGCGUGUGCGUGUGCUCGAGGGGCCAUCUGCCCACGUGAGGGUGUGCACGUGUGCGGGCGUGUGCUCGAGGGGCCAUCUGCCCACGUGAGGGUGUGCGCGUGUACGUGCGUGUGCGGGCGUGUGCUCGAGGGGCCAUCUGCCCACGUGAGGGUGUGCACGUGUACGUGCGUGUGCGGGCGUGUGCUCGGCGCCAUCUGCCCGCGAGGGUGUGCACGUGUGCGGGCGUGAGCUCGGGCCAUCUGCCCGCGUGAGGGUGUGCGCGUGUGCGGGCGUGUGCUCGAGGGGCCAUCUGCCCACGUGAGGGUGUGCACGUGCGUGUGCG